Molecule: ribosomal RNA, 253 nt
Filed under: uncultured bacterium
Lineage: Bacteria
Description: partial 16S ribosomal RNA
Rfam family: Bacterial small subunit ribosomal RNA
Source: RNAcentral
UACGAAGGACCCGAGCGUUAUCCGGAUUUAUUGGGUUUAAAGGGUGCGUAGGCGGAUUAGUAAGUCAGUGGUGAAAGCCCAUCGCUUAACGGUGGAACUGCCAUUGAUACUGCUAGUCUUGAGUAUGGUUGAGGUGGGCGGAAUGUGUCAUGUAGCGGUGAAAUGCUUAGAUAUGACAUAGAACACCCAUUGCGAAGGCAGCUUACUACACGAUCAUUGACGCUGAGGCACGAAAGCGUGGGGAGCAAACAGG